This is a non-coding RNA of Thermotalea metallivorans, 265 nucleotides long. It matches the Rfam family "Bacterial large signal recognition particle RNA". From Rfam's summary of the family: The signal recognition particle (SRP) is a universally conserved ribonucleoprotein involved in the co-translational targeting of proteins to membranes. NCBI's taxonomy places the organism in Bacteria, Bacillati, Bacillota, Clostridia, Peptostreptococcales, Thermotaleaceae. The record is from Rfam.
CCGUGCUAGAUGGGGAGGUAGCGGUGCCCUGUAACCUGCAACCCGCUGUAGCAGGAUUGAAUUCCUAUCGGCGAUCUGUUGUUGUAGAGUCUGCCCUGGCUAAGUGGCGAGGAGGACUGGGUCCUGCGCAACGGGAACUUAUGAACCCCGUCAGGUCCGGAAGGAAGCAGCGGUAAGUAAGCCCUCUCGUGUGCCGCAGGGGUGCUUGGUCUGAGUUAACUGUCUAGGUACCGUCUGUAGCAACUUGUCAACGAUAGGUGCACGG